CCUACGGGUGGCAGCAGUUAGGAAUUUUGGGCAAUGGGCGAAAGCCUGACCCAGCAACGCCGCGUGGGUGAUGAAGGCCCUCGGGUCGUAAAGCCCUUUUCCCAGGGAAGAUGAUGACGGUACCUGGGGAAUCAGCCCCGGCUAACUACGUGCCAGCAGCCGCGGUAAUACGUAGGGGGCAAGCGUUGUCCGGAUUUAUUGGGCGUAAAGCGCUCGCAGGUGGUUCGAUGCGUCGUGCGUGAAAGCCCCCGGCUCAACUGGGGAGUGUCGUGCGAUACGGUCGAACUGGAGGCCAGUAGGGGGAUGCGGAAUUCCGGGUGUAGUGGUGGAAUGCGUAGAGAUCCGGAGGAACACCAGCGGCGAAGGCGGCAUCCUGGACUGGUCCUGACACUCAUGAGCGAAAGCGUGGGGAGCGAUCCGGAUUAGAUACCCCGGUAGUC
RNAcentral lists this ribosomal RNA (440 nucleotides) under uncultured bacterium. RNAcentral describes it as "bacterial SSU rRNA". It matches the Rfam family "Bacterial small subunit ribosomal RNA", at positions 338 to 795 of the family's 1533-position model. The record is from RNAcentral.